This 478-nucleotide ribosomal RNA is filed under the name uncultured bacterium. RNAcentral describes it as "bacterial SSU rRNA". It matches the Rfam family "Bacterial small subunit ribosomal RNA", at positions 1 to 524 of the family's 1533-position model. The record is from RNAcentral.
UGGGCCCGAGUUUGAUCCUGGCUCAGAGCGAACGCUGGCGGCAGGCUUAACACAUGCAAGUCGAGCGGGCGUAGCAAUACGUCAGCGGCAGACGGGUGAGUAACGCGUGGGAACGUACCUUUUGGUUCGGAACAACACAGGGAAACUUGUGCUAAUACCGGAUAAGCCCUUACGGGGAAAGAUUUAUCGCCGAAAGAUCGGCCCGCGUCUGAUUAGCUAGUUGGUGAGGUAACGGCUCACCAAGGCGACGAUCAGUAGCUGGUCUGAGAGGAUGAUCAGCCACAUUGGGACUGAGACACGGCCCAAACUCCUACGGGAGGCAGCAGUGGGGAAUAUUGGACAAUGGGCGCAAGCCUGAUCCAGCCAUGCCGCGUGAGUGAUGAAGGCCCUAGGGUUGUAAAGCUCUUUUGUGCGGGAAGAUAAUGACGGUACCGCAAGAAUAAGCCCCGGCUAACUUCGUGCCAGCAGCCGCGGUGCU